GUGAACGCUGGCGGUAGGCCUAACACAUGCAAGUCGAACGGCAGCACAGUAAGAGCUUGCUCUUACGGGUGGCGAGUGGCGGACGGGUGAGGAAUACAUCGGAAUCUACUUUUUCGUGGGGGAUAAUGUAGGGAAACUUACGCUAAUACCGCAUACGACCUACGGGUGAAAGCAGGGGAUCUUCGGACCUUGCGCGAUUGAAUGAGCCGAUGUCGGAUUAGCUAGUUGGCGGGGUAAAGGCCCACCAAGGCGACGAUCCGUAGCUGGUCUGAGAGGAUGAUCAGCCACACUGGAACUGAGACACGGUCCAGACUCCUACGGGAGGCAGCAGUGGGGAAUAUUGGACAAUGGGCGCAAGCCUGAUCCAGCCAUACCGCGUGGGUGAAGAAGGCCUUCGGGUUGUAAAGCCCUUUUGUUGGGAAAGAAAAGCAGCAGGUUAAUACCCCGCUGUUCUGACGGUACCCAAAGAAUAAGCACCGGCUAACUUCGUG
This 491-nucleotide ribosomal RNA is filed under the name uncultured bacterium. RNAcentral's name for it is "partial 16S ribosomal RNA". It matches the Rfam family "Bacterial small subunit ribosomal RNA", at positions 29 to 507 of the family's 1533-position model. The record is from RNAcentral.